This 508-nucleotide ribosomal RNA is filed under the name uncultured bacterium. RNAcentral's name for it is "partial 16S ribosomal RNA". It matches the Rfam family "Bacterial small subunit ribosomal RNA", at positions 30 to 523 of the family's 1533-position model. The record is from RNAcentral.
AUUGAACGCUGGCGGCAUGCCUAACACAUGCAAGUCGAACGGCAGCAUGAUGUGUAGCAAUACACAUUGAUGGCGAGUGGCGGACGGGUGAGUAAUACGUAGGAAUCUACCUCAACGUGGGGGAUAACCCGGGGAAACUCGGGCUAAUACCGCAUAAUCUAUACGGAGCAAAGCGGGGGACCGAAAGGCCUCGCGCUGUGCGAUGAGCCUACGUCGGAUUAGCUGGUUGGUGAGGUAAAGGCUCACCAAGGUUAUGAUCCGUAGCUGGGAUGCGAGGACGGCCAUCCACACUGGGACUGCGACACGGCCAAGACUCCUACGGGAGGCAGCAGUGGGGAAUUUUGGAAAAUGGGGGCAACCCUGAUCCAGCAAUGCCGCGUGUGUGAAGAAGGCCUUCGGGUUGUAAAGCACUUUUAGUGGGGAAGAAAAGCUCAUAAUUAAUACUUAUGAGUAUUGACGUUACUCACAGAAAAAGCACCGGCUAACUCUGUGCCAGCCGCCGCCGUAA